GAGUAAGCAGUCGGAACGUAUCUGGAGUGGGGAUACGUAGCGAAAGUUACGCUAAUACCGCAUAUUCUGUGAGCAGGAAAGCAGGGGAUCGCAAGACCUUGCGCUCUGGGAGCGGCCGAUGUCGGAUUAGCUAGUUGGUGGGUAAAGGCCUACCAAGGCGACGAUCCGUAGCGGGUCUGAGAGGAUGAUCCGCCACACUGGGACUGAGACACGGCCCAGACUCCUACGGGAGGCAGCAGUGGGGAAUUUUGGACAAUGGGCGCAAGCCUGAUCCAGCCAUGCCGCGUGAGUGAAGAAGGCCUUCGGGUUGUAAAGCUCUUUCGGCGGGGAAGAAAUUGCACGGGUUAAUACCCUGUGUAGAUGACGGUACCCGAAUAAGAAGCACCGGCUAGCUACGUG
This 399-nucleotide ribosomal RNA is filed under the name uncultured bacterium. RNAcentral describes it as "bacterial SSU rRNA". It matches the Rfam family "Bacterial small subunit ribosomal RNA", at positions 108 to 507 of the family's 1533-position model. The record is from RNAcentral.